GAAUCUCUUUCCUUGCUUCAAUACUUUGAAGAAAGGCAAGCUUUUAUCAGUGGCUCUGGAGAUGAAGCGGCUGAGGGCGGCUAUCCGGCCAUUGAGACUUUGGACCUCCUUUGGUUUCUGAGGUGAACUCAUUUCUAUUAUAGCCGCCACCUUUGCCGGGUUUGCCUCAAUUCCUCUCUGAUUUACAAUGUAUCCCAAGAACUGGCCCGAUGCCACUCCGAAAGUGCACUUGAGGGGAUUCAACUUCAUGUUAUACCUUCUGAGUAUCUGGAAGGUUUGGUCAAUGUGACUCACGUGUUCGGCCGCCUGGAGGCUUUUGACCAACAUGUCGUCCACGUAGACCUCCAUGGUUUUGCCAAUGAGUUCGGCAAACAUCAUGUUGACUAACCUCUGAUAUGUGGCCCCGGCAUUUUUCAAUCCGAAGGGCAUGACUUUGUAGCAAUACAGCCCCCUGUCCGUGAUGAAUGAUGUAGCUUCCUCAUCAGGUCGGAACAUGGGUAUUUGGUUGUACCCUGAGUACGCAUCCAUGAAGCUAAGUAGUUCAUGCCCAGCAGUGGAGUCGACCAGUUGAUCAAUUCUUGGAAGUGGGAAGCUGUCCUUGGGGCAUGCCUUAUUCAGGUUUGUGAAGUCCACACAGACCCUCCAUUUCCCGCUGGACUUUUUCACUAGAACCGGGUUGGAUAUCCACCUCGGGUAUAUGGCCUCUCUGAUGAAACCACUGCGAUCGAGUUUACUUACUUCAUCUUUCAGCGCCUCGUACCGUUCCGGAUUCAGCGCGCGCCUCUUCUGUCUAUGGGGGGCAUAGGAGGGGUUGAUGUUAAGGUGAUGGCAACUGAUCCUGGGAUCUAUCCCCACCAUAUCCUCAUGUUUCCAUGCGAAGACAUCUAGGUUUUCUUUCAGGAAUCGUAUCAUCUCAAUUUUUGCUUCAGGCGAUAAUGACUUCCCUAUGCGCAAGACUUGAUUGGGGUCUUCUGGAUUGACUGGAAAAGUUUCCAGUUCUUCCAUUGGGGUCGCGUUUGGUUCAUAAUCAAUUAUUCGGGGAUCUAACUCGUCAAGAGGGUGUCCUUGUUCAGGGGCCUCUUCCAUUAUGACAUCUUCCUCUUGUUCAGAGGUAUGCCCUUGUUCAGGGGCGUCGAGCAUCUCCACGUCCGUACCGGCUUCAGCGGGUACUUCUGCUAGAAUUACAUUGACGGUCCAGGCUCCGAUUUGCGUAGCGAGUUCAGGUAGCAUGCCCUGGAGCUCAUCUGAUCGCCCCGAACCGUUGCAAUCCUACGUUCGGUUGGGAAUUUCAUGCACAGAUAGUGAAUGGACGUCACAGCCCAAAGAUCUUUUAGAGCCGGUCUGCCCAACACCCCAUGAUAAGCCGACCUAUGAUCUACCACCAGAAAUUCCAUGAAAUGCUGGGCGACCAGGGGGGCCGAACCCAUUUCCACAGGCAGGGUAAUCCGCCCUCGUGGGAUGAUGCUGUCCCCAGUGAAUCCGAACAGCGGGUCGGUCAUGGGGAUUAACCCAUGUUCAAUUUGCAUUUUGUCAAAAGUGGAGCCAAACAAUAUGUUCACGGAGCUGCCGUUGUCAACGAGCAUGCGUUUUAAUCCGUUUCUAGCCACUACGGC
Molecule: long non-coding RNA, 1613 nt
Filed under: Olea europaea subsp. europaea
Lineage: Eukaryota; Viridiplantae; Streptophyta; Magnoliopsida; Lamiales; Oleaceae
Source: RNAcentral